RNAcentral lists this ribosomal RNA (393 nucleotides) under uncultured Spirochaeta sp. RNAcentral's name for it is "bacterial SSU rRNA". It matches the Rfam family "Bacterial small subunit ribosomal RNA", at positions 989 to 1382 of the family's 1533-position model. The record is from RNAcentral. Lineage: Bacteria; Pseudomonadati; Spirochaetota; Spirochaetia; Spirochaetales; Spirochaetaceae.
ACAGGAAGAGUUGUUAGAGAUACAGCAGCCGCUUGCGGUCUGUAUACAGGUGCUGCAUGGCUGUCGUCAGCUCGUGCCGUGAAGUGUUGGGUUAAGUCCCGCAACGAGCGCAACCCCUAUCAUCUGUUGCCAGCAUUUAAGGUGGGGACUCAGAUGAGACUGCCGGUGACAAACCGGAGGAAGGUGGGGACGACGCCAAGUCAUCAUGGCCCUUAUGUCCUGGGCUACACACGUGCUACAAUGGCCGGUACAGAGUGAAGCGAAACCGCGAGGUGAAGCAAAACGCAGAAAGCCGGUCUCAGUACGGAUUGGAGUCUGAAACUCGACUUCAUGAAGUUGGAAUCGCUAGUAAUCGCGCAUCAGCAUGGCGCGGUGAAUACGUUCCCGGGCCUU